This is a non-coding RNA of Pelobates cultripes (western spadefoot toad), 836 nucleotides long. Lineage: Eukaryota; Metazoa; Chordata; Amphibia; Anura; Pelobatidae. The record is from the annotation of a GenBank genome assembly.
GUCCCCUUUAAGCCUAAUGAAUUCCAUGCUGAUGUGGUUAUAAAAAUUGCUGUACCUUUGUGGGUGUUUUAGUUUAUAUCCAUUUCACAGUACUCUGUCAGUGGCUAAACAUAGGGGGCCGAUGCGAUAGGCAGAUGGCAAAAUUUACCCAACUGGAGGAAAUCCUGCAAGUGAUCGCAUAACGAGGCUGAAAAUAAAUAUUAAAGGGACACUAUAGUCACCAGAACAACUACAGCUUAUUGAAUUUGUUCUGGUGAGUAGAAUCAUUACCUUCAGGCUUUUUGCUGUAAACACUACCUUUUCAGAGAAAAUGCAGUGUUUACAUUACAGCCUAGUGAUAACUUCAUUGGCCACUCACUCAGAUGGCUGUUAAUGAUCCUUCCUGUGUCAUGGCUGCCUAAAAUGCAUCCAAACAUUCAGUAUCUCCUCCCUCUGCAUCAGACACUGAACUUUCCUCAUAGAGAUUAAUUGAUUCAAUUCAUCUCUAUGAGGAGAUGCUGAUUGGCCAGGGCUGUGUUUGAAUCAUUCUGGCUCUGCCCCUGAUCUGCCUCUUUGUCAGUCUCAGCCAAUCCUAUGGGGAAGCACUGUGAUUGGAUUAGGCUACCACUUCUGAUGAUCUCAGCAGACUGCUGGUUUUUCUGAGGCAAACAGUAUGCAGAGCUACAGCUUCUGGCUUGAAUACAGUAAGAUGUUGCUAUAUUUAUGGAGGCAAAAUGGGUCCAGGGGGCCUAGAUGGUCGUUUUAACACUAUAGGGUCAGGAAUACAUGUUUGUGUUUCUUUAACCCCUUAAGGACACAUGACAUGUGUGACAUGUCAUGAUUCCCUUUUAUUCCAG